UGCUGAUAUGGCUCAGUUGGUAGAGCGCACCCUUGGUAAGGGUGAGGUCCCCAGUUCGACUCUGGGUAUCAGCA
RNAcentral lists this transfer RNA (74 nucleotides) under Escherichia coli. Its description in RNAcentral is "tRNA-Thr". It matches the Rfam family "tRNA". From Rfam's summary of the family: Transfer RNA (tRNA) molecules are approximately 80 nucleotides in length. Lineage: Bacteria; Pseudomonadati; Pseudomonadota; Gammaproteobacteria; Enterobacterales; Enterobacteriaceae. The record is from RNAcentral.